Long non-coding RNA from Panicum virgatum (switchgrass), 1936 nucleotides. RefSeq lists it as uncharacterized. The transcript is spliced from 3 exons. The record is from RefSeq and is a predicted model, not a curated record. Lineage: Eukaryota; Viridiplantae; Streptophyta; Magnoliopsida; Poales; Poaceae.
AUCACGAGAAACACUGAUGGGUGAUGUUCCUACUUGUGCUUCAUGUUCUUUCGCUUUUCUGUAUCUGAUUAUUGUAUUUUUCUCAUCAACAGCCUGCUGUAACAAUGGGCAAGGGGACAUUCUCCUUUUAUUAUUAUUUUUGUUGGCUUAUACUAUCCAUCAUAUAUAUGUAUGUGUGAUUUUUAUACUUCUACACAGUGCAAUUUCUUUUCAGCAAACAAUUCAUAAAACCAUAUGUAUUUGUAGUGCUUCUACUAGCAGUAUGAUAUGUUGAAUUUGUCAAAAUUAUAUUUUCAAGCUAAAUUCACAUGGAUAUAUAUUCUUCGUACCAUGUACCUUUUGCAUCAGUAUGUUCUUUGGGUGAUUGUCCUUCAUAUAAUGUCUAAACUUGUCAUUUUCUUACAGAUGUUCUUCAUUCUUUUCAGUUUUGAAUAAUAAAAUUUAUAGUGAUAAUUUAUAUCAAUGUGGCAUUAUUAUGACAUUUUAGUUUCAUUUGAAAAUCCUUUUCAUGUAGUGAUAUAAAAUUACACUAGUGAAACUUCUUCAAUUUCAUCGCACAGAUUGUACUUUCUAUCUUACGGAGGGUGCCCUUUUAUUGCUAUGAUGUACAGUCAUUGUGUGUUUUAUCUCUUCUAGAGGCUUUUUUUUAUUUCAUCAUAGUCUGCUCGAUCAUGGAGGGUUAGCUCAAAUCUUUCUAGCUAGUUUCUGCCCUCUCUACAACUGUUUCCUCAUGCACCUCCACAUUUACUGUACCAUUCCUACUUAAUUAUAGUUUAGUAUAUGCAGAGACAAUGUUGCCUUUCAGUGCAUACGACCACUAAAUCUUGGAUAAUCCCAUGCUUGCAUAUUUGAAACUAUUUUUCCUGGCCACCAUCUAUGGUUUGCUUGGCAUCCCUUUUUUCAUACUUGAUGUGGUACAGGCCUAUCUGCCACAUAAUGAGAACAACGAUGACUCUAAGAUGAUAUGUGAAGACAACUUCAAGAAUGUAUACAAGUUAUUUUAUGGUUGAGUAUCCUAUUGUGUCUACUAAGAGUUUACCCAAGUGUUUUUGAGAUGAGUGGUGUGUAAUGCACCUUUCCAAGGUACCUCUUUCGUCCAAAACUAAGCUAUAUAGUUUACCAAGUGUUCAUCAUGUUUUCUAGUGUUUUACAGUUCGUUAAACAACUAUGUAUUAUAUGAACAUGUCUGAGCUAAAAAAAUAUUAACUUUAUGCUAUGUAGCAGCUGUGAUUUUUCUAUAUAAUAUUUUUAUAACCAUGUCAAAUGUGAACUGCAUGGUCCACGGCCUGGUGUUCACAAAAAUGUGUACUAGCAUCUAUUGUCCAGUCACACCUCCAUGGUCUGCAGCUUCUACAUGAGCUUAUAACUGGUUCAUGCCCAAGUGUUUAAAAUAUAUGUAGCAACUAAGGAUUUGGGAAUUUAAUUCGGGCGCCAACAAAUAUGGUAUAAGUGACAUUAUAAAUUAUUUAAUUUGGUUGCAUAGUUAAAUGUUGUCGGGCGCCAACUAAGGAUUUAUAACAAAGCUCAUCAUUUCACACGUUGGGCUUAUUUGGCCCAUGCUAUGCUAUUGGGAGAACCUAAUUUGGAACCUGUGCAUAUGAAAACUUUUUGUUGGAUUAGACAUAAUGCUAAAUGUUCAUGAGCUUUGUUUGAUAAUGCUUCUAUGAAUCUUAGGUCACAAAUUGUUAAAUGUGUGGUACAUAGUUUUUUUUAUCUGAUCGUUGUGUUUAUGAACUGUGAUUGUGCAAAUUUUUAAACAUGCAAUGGCAGAUGGAACGUCAACAAUAUAAGGUUAUCAUUCAUGUUGCUUCGUUGCAGAUUUGUAUGGUACGGUGUCACCCAUAAAAUUGAAAUUGUGUUCUCCCUGAGCUUUAUUAGAGCUCGCAAUGUGGAGGAAAUCAGCACUGGUCAAACUGUAACUGUGGCAUGUACUUGU